GCCCCAGAGUCGGGGUCUCCCCAGAUCCGGGGUCUCCGCACAGCCGGGGUCGCCCCAGAGUCAGGGUCUCCGCAGAGCUGGGUUCGCACCGAAGUGUGUGUGUGGGGGGGUCUCUGCACAGCCGGGGUCUUCCCAGAGCCGAGGUCGCUCCAGAGUCAGGGUCUCUGCAGAGCGGGGGUCGCCCUAGAGCCGGGGUCUCCCCAGAGCCGGGGUCUCCGCACAGCCGGGGAUCGCCCCAGAGCCGGAGUUGCCGCAGAACCAGGGGUCGUGGCAGGGCCGGGGUCGCUGCAGUUGUGGACGGGUCUCUGGAUGGUGAGGCGGGGUGCUGAGCGCAGCCCGAGGCCGGCUUGCGUGUACCCAGAAAGCCAGUGUCUUAAAGACGUGGAUGCCCUAGGAUCCCCAGUUCAGCAUCUUUCCAGGAACACGAUAAACUGGAGGCCCCCUUCAGUUUGUUCCACCAGAGAAACAGACAAAAACCUGAGCUGCCUCCCGCGGAAGCCCUUAGCUCUAGAAGGGAGCGGAGAGACGGACACCCCUACUCGCUGACCUUGGGGUCUGUCGAACUUGGCUCCGGCACCCAGCAGAGUGGAGCUUCUGACUCCGCGAGUUGGCUCUGCCCCUCCGGUUUCUGAAGACACUCCCUGAGCCACCGGGCUGCACCAAAGUGCUGCUUCUGGGGGGCUCUGCUGAAGUGAAGGGUCAGCAGUGGGGCUGAAUGUGUUAGACCCAGGUGGGACUCAUGCUGGGGACCCAGAGUUCUGCCACUCAAGAGAAAAGAGGACAGUGUGCUGGUGAUGCAGGGUCAGCCCAUGCAUGCCCCAGGCUGGUCCUGGAAAGAUGGCCUGUUGACUGUGGACUUGCUUGGAAAAGUUUAAGGGAACAACAGCGUUGGGAACUGCAGUCCCACAGGGUUGGGGACCUUCAGCACCGAAACUGUUCCGGUUCCUCCUGGUUUGCUUGAGGAGCUGGGCAUGGCCACUGGGGAAGAAGCUUUGUCUCAGGGUGCCCAAGCUUGGUGUGAACUCAGGAAGGGAAGGUAGCCUUCCAUUCCCUCAAGUGGAUACUAUAGAGAAGUGGCAUACUUGAUCUCCGUUGGGCUCUGCCUGAGUGUGUCAGAAUACAAGUGCCAUCUUGGGGAACUUGUGGGAAUGGGGGACUCCUGCAAUGGCU
Molecule: long non-coding RNA, 1170 nt
Filed under: Marmota monax (woodchuck)
Lineage: Eukaryota; Metazoa; Chordata; Mammalia; Rodentia; Sciuridae
Source: RNAcentral